AUACGGAAGGUCCGGGCGUUAUCCGGAUUUAUUGGGUUUAAAGGGAGCGCAGGCGGCACUUCAAGCGUGACGUUAAAUUUCGGGGCUCACCCCCGUUUUGCGUCGCGAACUGUUGUGCUUGAGUAGGCGGCAGGGAGGCGGAAUUCGCGGUGUAGCGGUGAAAUGCUUAGAUAUCGCGAGGAACUCCGAUAGCGCAGGCAGCCUCCCGUUGCUUUACUGACGCUCAUGCUCGAAGUUGCGGGUAUCGAACAGGAUUAGAUACCCUGGUAGUCCGCACUGUAAACGAUGGAUGCCCGCUGUUGGGCCUUUUGGGUUCAGUGGCCAAGAGAAAUCGUUAAGCAUCCCACCUGGGGAGUACGCCGGCAACGGUGAAACUCAAAUGAAUUGACGGGG
This 393-nucleotide ribosomal RNA is filed under the name uncultured bacterium. Its description in RNAcentral is "partial 16S ribosomal RNA". It matches the Rfam family "Bacterial small subunit ribosomal RNA", at positions 523 to 918 of the family's 1533-position model. The record is from RNAcentral.